UCUUAUAGCACUGCAACACCCAGGGCCAAUGUAAGUCUCACCGUUGAGGAAGAACAAGAUCAGCUCUCCAGAACAGUGUUGGAGCUGCAUCAGUGAGUCCCAGCAGUACCCUGUAUCUUCAUCAAGCUUGAGCCUGUACACAAGGCUUGUGGUAGGAGAAGACGUCCCCAUGGAUGGUUUCAUGAGAGGGCGAGCUGUCACUGUGGAGGAAGCCACCAUGAGCAUGAGAGUCACAAUGUUGAAGGUAGCCAUGAAACUAGAUUUGGAAGCCAUUUCUCAACAGAUUGAUAAGGUCGAAAGAAGAAAGAGUAGAAGUUGCU
Molecule: long non-coding RNA, 320 nt
Organism: Arabidopsis thaliana (thale cress)
Lineage: Eukaryota; Viridiplantae; Streptophyta; Magnoliopsida; Brassicales; Brassicaceae
Product: other RNA
Exons: 1
Source: RefSeq